CUGUGUUAAGCGGUUGGGCUUGCCCAACCACGCACACCCCCUGUGUACCUCACCGGUUGCUUCGGCGGGUCGCUGGCCACAGCCGUCGCCCCCCUCCCUGCGGGGGCGGCGUGUCGCCCGCCGAGAGACCUUCAAACGCUGGCUUUUGCAGUGAUGUCCGAGCCAUAUACGAGAAAUCGCAUA
RNAcentral lists this unclassified non-coding RNA (183 nucleotides) under uncultured fungus. RNAcentral describes it as "sequence contains ITS1, 5.8S rRNA gene". Lineage: Eukaryota; Fungi. The record is from RNAcentral.